UGGGGAAUAUUGGACAAUGGGCGGAAGCCUGAUCCAGCAACGCCGCGUGAGGGAUGACGGCCUUCGGGUUGUAAACCUCUUUCAGUACCGACGAAGCGAAAGUGACGGUAGGUACAGAAGAAGGACCGGCCAACUACGUGCCAGCAGCCGCGGUAAUACGUAGGGUCCGAGCGUUGUCCGGAAUUAUUGGGCGUAAAGGGCUCGUAGGCGGUUUGUCGCGUCGGGAGUGAAAACAGCGGGCUUAACUCGUUGCUUGCUUUCGAUACGGGGCAGACUAGAGGUAUGCAGGGGAGAAUGGAAUUCCUGGUGUAGCGGUGAAAUGCGCAGAUAUCAGGAGGAACACCGGUGGCGAAGGCGGUUCUCUGGGCAUUACCUGACGCUGAGGAGCGAAAGUGUGGGGAGCGAACAGGA
This 411-nucleotide ribosomal RNA is filed under the name uncultured bacterium. Its description in RNAcentral is "partial 16S ribosomal RNA". It matches the Rfam family "Bacterial small subunit ribosomal RNA", at positions 355 to 777 of the family's 1533-position model. The record is from RNAcentral.